RNAcentral lists this ribosomal RNA (783 nucleotides) under uncultured Neocallimastigales. RNAcentral describes it as "partial large subunit ribosomal RNA". It matches the Rfam family "Eukaryotic large subunit ribosomal RNA", at positions 19 to 628 of the family's 3401-position model. Lineage: Eukaryota; Fungi; Neocallimastigomycota; Neocallimastigomycetes; Neocallimastigales. The record is from RNAcentral.
CGAGCACGCGCGUGUGGCAUAUCAAUAAGCGGAGGAAAAGAAACUAACUAAGGAUUCCCUCAGUAACGGCGAGUGAAGCGGGAAGAGCUCAAAUUUGAAAUCUUCAAGGGUUUACCUUUACGAAUUGUAGUUUAAAGAAGUGUUUUCUGUUGGUAGUAUUGGUAAAAGUUCUUUGGAAUAGGACAUCAUAGAGGGUGAGAAUCCCGUAUUUGACCAGUUACUUCCAGCUGUUGUGAUUACACUUUCAAAGAGUCGGAUUGUUUGGGAAUGCAGUCCAAAAUGGGUGGUAAAUUUCAUCUAAAGCUAAAUAUUGGCGAGAGACCGAUAGCGAACAAGUACCGUGAGGGAAAGAUGAAAAGAACUUUGAAAAGAGAGUUAAACAGUACGUGAAAUUGUCAAAAGGGAAGCGUUCGACACCAGUGUUGUUUUCUCGAAAAUCAAUUAAAUGAGUUGGAUUUGUAGGUUGUUAAGACCUUUAUCAGCUUACUGUACUAGUUUUCUUGCUCUUUGUGAAUGCACCUUUCGUUUAACAAGUCAACAUCAAUUUCUUUUGUUGUAAAAGGGUCAGUAGGAAGGUGGCUUCAGCUUCGGUGAAAGUGUUUAUAGCCUUUGGCUUCUACAAUCGGAGAGAUUGAGGUCUGCAGCGUAGAUCCUUCGGGGUUAGAUACGUAGAUGCUAAGUUAUAGUUUUUCAUAGACAACAUGUUGACUAUGAUUAAUCAUGUAGCUUACUCGCUUAUGCUAUUUUACCUACGCUUAGGAUGUUGAACUCUAUCACACACAG